CCUUGUACACACCGCCCGUCACACCAUGGGAGUUGGUUUUACCUGAAGCGGUGCGCUAACCCGCAAGGGAGGCAGCCGACCACGGUAGGGUCAGCGACUGGGGUG
RNAcentral lists this ribosomal RNA (105 nucleotides) under uncultured bacterium. RNAcentral describes it as "partial 16S ribosomal RNA". It matches the Rfam family "Bacterial small subunit ribosomal RNA", at positions 1379 to 1482 of the family's 1533-position model. The record is from RNAcentral.